Molecule: ribosomal RNA, 254 nt
Filed under: uncultured bacterium
Lineage: Bacteria
Description: partial 16S ribosomal RNA
Rfam family: Bacterial small subunit ribosomal RNA
Source: RNAcentral
UACGGGGGGAGCAAGCGUUGUUCGGAUUUACUGGGCGUAAAGGGCGCGUAGGCGGCCACCGCAAGUCGACUGUGAAAUCUCCGGGCUUAACCCGGAAAGGUCAGCCGAUACUGCGGGGCUAGAGUGCAGAAGGGGCAACUGGAAUUCUCGGUGUAGCGGUGAAAUGCGUAGAUAUCGGGAGGAACACCGAUGGCGAAGGCAGUUCUCUGGGCCGUAACUGACGCUGAGGAGCGAAAGCGUGGGGAGCGAACAGG